This 889-nucleotide ribosomal RNA is filed under the name uncultured Bacillota bacterium. Its description in RNAcentral is "bacterial SSU rRNA". It matches the Rfam family "Bacterial small subunit ribosomal RNA", at positions 58 to 916 of the family's 1533-position model. The record is from RNAcentral. Lineage: Bacteria; Bacillati; Bacillota.
GGGGCCCAAUGAAAGGAAUUGAAAUUCAGAGUGCUUGCACAAAGAAUGGAUUUUCUUGGAUUUGGAUUUUCCCCUUAGUGGCAAACGGGUGAGUAACACGUGGGUUACCUACCUCUAAGAUGGGGAUAACAGUUGGAAACGACUGAUAAUACCGAAUGUGCUCUACGGAGUAAAGAAGCCCUUAAAGCUUCGCUUAGAGAUGGGCCUGCGGCGUAUUAGCUAGUUGGUGGGGUAAUGGCCUACCAAGGCGACGAUGCGUAGCCGAACUGAGAGGUUGAUCGGCCACACUGGGACUGAGACACGGCCCAGACUCCUACGGGAGACAGCAGUUAGGAAUAUUCGUCAAUGGAGGAAACUCUGAACGAGCAAUGCCGCGUGAACGAUGACGGCCCUAUGGGUUGUAAAGUUCUGUUGUUUGGAAAGAACGAUAGAUAGAGGAAAUGCUAUCUAUGUGACGGUACCAUUCAAGAAAGCCACGGCUAACUACGUGCCAGCAGCCGCGGUAAUACGUAGGUGGCGAGCGUUAUCCGGAUUUAUUGGGCGUAAAGGGUGCGCAGACGGUUUAUUAAGUCUAAAAUCAAAUCUUGGGGCUCAACCCCAUUCCGUUUUAGAAACUGGUAGACUUGAGUAUGGUAGAGGCAAAUGGAAUUCCUAGUGUAGCGGUGGAAUGCGUAGAUAUUAGGAGGAACACCAGUGGCGAAGGCGAUUUGCUGGGCCAUUACUGGCGUUCAGGCACGAAAGCGUGGGGAGCAAAUAGGAUUAGAUACCCUAGUAGUCCACGCCGUAAACGAUGAGUACUAAGUGUCGGGUUACCGGUGCUGAAGUUAACACAUUAAGUACUCCACCUGAGUAGUACGGUCGCAAGGCUGCAACUCAAAUGAAUUGACGG